Molecule: ribosomal RNA, 477 nt
Filed under: uncultured bacterium
Lineage: Bacteria
Description: partial 16S ribosomal RNA
Rfam family: Bacterial small subunit ribosomal RNA
Source: RNAcentral
GAUGAACGCUGGCGGCGUGCCUAACACAUGCCAGUCGAGCGGACGGACGCUAAGCUUGUUUCUUUGAUGUUAGCGGCGGACGGGUGUGUAACACGUGGAUAAUCCACUUAUAUUACUGGGAUAAUCUCGGGACACCGGAGCUAAUACCGGAUAAUAUCCUGAACCGCAUGGUUCAAUAGUGAAUGACGGCCUUGGCGUCGGGGAUAGAUGGAUCGGCGCUGCAUUAGCUUGUUGGUGGGGUAGCGGCUUACCAAGGCUACGAUGGGUAGCAGACCUGAGAGGGUGACCGGCGACAUUGGGACUGAGGGAGGGCCCAGACUGGUACGGGAGGCAGCAGGGGGGAAGAUUGCACAAUGGGCGGAAGCGGGAUGCAGAAACGCUGCGGGCGGGAAGACGGUUUUAGGGGUGAAAACCGCUUUCGACUGUGACGAAGCGUGAGUGACGGUAACGGGAAAAGAAGCACCGGCUAACUACGUG